Molecule: ribosomal RNA, 497 nt
Filed under: uncultured bacterium
Lineage: Bacteria
Description: partial 16S ribosomal RNA
Rfam family: Bacterial small subunit ribosomal RNA
Source: RNAcentral
GAUGAACGCUGGCGGCGUGCCUAAUACAUGCAAGUCGAGCGAACAGACGAGGAGCUUGCUCCUCUGACGUUAGCGGCGGACGGGUGAGUAACACGUGGAUAACCUACCUAUAAGACUGGGAUAACUUCGGGAAACCGGAGCUAAUACCGGAUAAUAUAUUGAACCGCAUGGUUCAAUAGUGAAAGACGGUUUUGCUGUCACUUAUAGAUGGAUCCGCGCCGCAUUAGCUAGUUGGUAAGGUAACGGCUUACCAAGGCAACGAUGCGUAGCCGACCUGAGAGGGUGAUCGGCCACACUGGAACUGAGACACGGUCCAGACUCCUACGGGAGGCAGCAGUAGGGAAUCUUCCGCAAUGGGCGAAAGCUUGACGGAGCAACGCCGCGUGAGUGAUGAAGGUCUUCGGAUCGUAAAACUCUGUUAUUAGGGAAGAACAAAUGUGUAAGUAACUAUGCACGUCUUGACGGUACCUAAUCAGAAAGCCACGGCUAACUAAGUG